Molecule: ribosomal RNA, 465 nt
Filed under: Vreelandella stevensii
Lineage: Bacteria; Pseudomonadati; Pseudomonadota; Gammaproteobacteria; Oceanospirillales; Halomonadaceae
Description: partial 16S ribosomal RNA
Rfam family: Bacterial small subunit ribosomal RNA
Source: RNAcentral
CCUACGGGCGGCAGCAGUGGGGAAUAUUGGACAAUGGGGGCAACCCUGUUCCAGCCAUGCCGCGUGUGUGAAGAAGGCCCUCGGGUUGUAAAGCACUUUCAGUGAGGAAGAACGCCUGGUGGUUAAUACCCAUCAGGAAAGACAUCACUCACAGAAGAAGCACCGGCUAACUCCGUGCCAGCAGCCGCGGUAAUACGGAGGGUGCGAGCGUUAAUCGGAAUUACUGGGCGUAAAGCGCGCGUAGGUGGCUUGAUAAGCCGGUUGUGAAAGCCCCGGGCUCAACCUGGGAACGGCAUCCGGAACUGUCAAGCUAGAGUGCAGGAGAGGAAGGUAGAAUUCCCGGUGUAGCGGUGAAAUGCGUAGAGAUCGGGAGGAAUACCAGUGGCGAAGGCGGCCUUCUGGACUGACACUGACACUGAGGUGCGAAAGCGUGGGUAGCAAACAGGAUUAGAUACCCCUGUAGUC